Molecule: ribosomal RNA, 520 nt
Filed under: uncultured Diversispora
Lineage: Eukaryota; Fungi; Glomeromycota; Glomeromycetes; Diversisporales; Diversisporaceae
Description: SSU rRNA
Rfam family: Eukaryotic small subunit ribosomal RNA
Source: RNAcentral
AGCAGCCGCGGUAAUUCCAGCUCCAAUAGCGUAUAUUAAAGUUGUUGCAGUUAAAAAGCUCGUAGUUGAACUUCGGGGUUUACCCAUUGGUCAGGCUUAAUUGUCUGUACUGGUGAGAUAAAUCUCUACCUUCUGAGGAACUUUCAUGUCAUUAAUUUGGUGUGAUUGGAAAUCAGGACUGUUACUUUGAAAAAUUAGAGUGUUUAAAGCAGGCUAACGUCUGAAUACAUUAGCAUGGAAUAAUGAAAUAGGACGGCUUGAUUCUAUUUCGUUGGUUUCUAGGAUCACCGUAAUGAUUAAUAGGGAUAGUUGGGGGCAUUAGUAUUCAAUUGUCAGAGGUGAAAUUCUUGGAUUUAUUGAAGACUAACUACUGCGAAAGCAUUUGCCAAGGAUGUUUUCAUUAAUCAAGAACGAAAGUUAGGGGAUCGAAGACGAUCAGAUACCGUCGUAGUCUUAACCAUAAACUAUGCCGACUAGGGAUCGGACGAAGUUAAUUUUAUAACGACGCGUUCGGCACCUU